RNAcentral lists this non-coding RNA (163 nucleotides) under bovine gut metagenome. RNAcentral describes it as "Lysine riboswitch". It matches the Rfam family "Lysine riboswitch aptamer". Rfam says of the family: Riboswitches are metabolite binding domains within certain messenger RNAs that serve as precision sensors for their corresponding targets. Allosteric rearrangement of mRNA structure is mediated by ligand binding, and this results in modulation of gene expression. This family includes riboswitches that sense lysine in a number of genes involved in lysine metabolism, including lysC. The record is from RNAcentral.
UCUGAUAGAGGCGCGGAAUGCAUGAUUACCCGUCAGCAAAAAGGCUAACGCUGAACGGUCAAAGGGUCUUCCGCCGAAAUGCGGUGUAUCUGCCUUAGGUCACCGUGUUGGGCUGUUUAUGAAAUACGUAACAGACUGUCACUAUUAAGUGGAGCGCUAUCUU